GCUGAGCCAAAUCCUCAGCCCCCUAAAAUUGGAAUGACACAGAGAAGGUUAGCAUGGCCCCUGCGCAAGGAUGACACGCAAAUUCGUGAAGCGGUCCAUAUUUUC
Molecule: small nuclear RNA, 105 nt
Filed under: Chinchilla lanigera (long-tailed chinchilla)
Lineage: Eukaryota; Metazoa; Chordata; Mammalia; Rodentia; Chinchillidae
Source: RNAcentral